Molecule: non-coding RNA, 1080 nt
Organism: Drosophila melanogaster (fruit fly)
Lineage: Eukaryota; Metazoa; Arthropoda; Insecta; Diptera; Drosophilidae
Source: Ensembl
AAUUGAAGUUUGGUUAUAUACAAAGAACAACUGUGGAAAAAACUGUAAAUCAUUACUUUGAGUUUUAUUUAAAAUAAUUAAAAAAUAAUUGAAUACUGAAAUGAAUCGCAUUUGGCUUAAAUGGCAAAAUUUUCUUAUGGUAAAACGAAUUACAAUGAUUUGUUAAAUAGAAAAAUAAUGAAAUUAGAGUUCGCAUUCACACUAGCAGUGUAACGGGUAUUUGAUAGACGGGGAACUUGUCUAUAGUAUUCUCUCUUUUUUAUAUUUAAGGUUUAAGGAGAGGUACUCCGAUCAUUUUUGUAGAGUUUGUUAGCAAUGUUGCCGCGACGAUGCCUGCGUGUCUGCAUGUAACCGAACCCGUUCGCAUUAUCUUAGGCCGAGGCUAGGCGACCCGAGCAUGCAUGUUAGCAUUUAGAAUUAGAUUUAAGGCUACGAAAGCCACAUACGAUAAUUAACAAAACUAAAACCGAAAAUUGAAAGCGCCCAUAGGGGGACAGAGUGGGAACGAUAGCGACAGAAACUUCUGGAAGAAGUCCAAAACUCAGCGAAAAGUUUUGUGAAGCAAAAAGAAAGAAAAAGGUGUUUGGGAGCAGAAGCCAAUGAGUAAAGGCAAAUUUGUGAAUAAAUGUGCGACAAUUUCGCAGAAGAAAAUUUACUGAGAUACAGACCAUCGUGUGACGCCUUAUCCAGACCGGCCGAGACCAGGAGAAACGAAAGAAGGACAACUUGGAGGAGACACACGGCGGACCCGGAAUCCAAGUCAUCAAAGGAGGGAACGGCGAAAAGAAGAUGACAAGAAUUUGAAACGAGAAAGGCUGGAACAAAAAUGUGAUAUCAUGGGAAAUAAAUACAAUUAAAUCAUAAUAAUAUAUAUAUUGGAAAAAAUCUGGAAAACAAAAAAAUAAAACCCACGAUGCUCAGAAGGGCUUAUUUUCUUGAAGACCAUGUAAUCGUGAAUCGAGUCGUCCCAAGUAUUUAGUGUUCUGUGUUUUUUGUUUAUUUUUUUUUGUAUAUUUAAUAUUUUUAAUUUGUUUUUUGAUUUAUAAGUAAAAUAAAUAUUGUUUAAUUAUAUUUCAUAAA